RNAcentral lists this ribosomal RNA (2934 nucleotides) under Morganella morganii. RNAcentral describes it as "bacterial LSU rRNA". It matches the Rfam family "Bacterial large subunit ribosomal RNA". Lineage: Bacteria; Pseudomonadati; Pseudomonadota; Gammaproteobacteria; Enterobacterales; Morganellaceae. The record is from RNAcentral.
GGGUUGUGAGGUUAAGCGAAUAAGCGUACACGGUGGAUGCCUAGGCAGUCAGAGGCGAUGAAGGACGUGCUAAUCUGCGAUAAGCGCCGGUAAGGUGAUAUGAACCGUUAUAACCGGCGAUUUCCGAAUGGGGAAACCCAGUGCAAUUCGUUGCACUAUCAUUACCUGAAUACAUAGGGUAAUGAAGCGAACCGGGAGAACUGAAACAUCUAAGUACCCCGAGGAAAAGAAAUCAAACGAGAUUCCCCCAGUAGCGGCGAGCGAACGGGGAGCAGCCCAGGACCUUAAUCAGCAUCAGUGUUAAGAGAACAGUCUGGAAAGGCUGGCCACAGCAGGUGAUAGCCCUGUAUCUGAAAGCACUGGUGUUGUGAGUCCGAUGAGUAAGGCGGGACACGUGUUAUCCUGUCUGAAUACGGGGGGACCAUCCUCCAAGGCUAAAUACUCCUGACUGACCGAUAGUGAACCAGUACCGUGAGGGAAAGGCGAAAAGAACCCCGGCGAGGGGAGUGAAAAAGAACCUGAAACCGUGUACGUACAAGCAGUGGGAGCACCCUUCGGGGUGUGACUGCGUACCUUUUGUAUAAUGGGUCAGCGACUUAUAUUCUGUAGCAAGGUUAACCGAAUAGGGGAGCCGCAGGGAAACCGAGUCUUAACUGGGCGAAUUAGUUGCAGGGUAUAGACCCGAAACCCGGUGAUCUAGCCAUGGGCAGGUUGAAGGUUGGGUAACACUAACUGGAGGACCGAACCGACUAAUGUUGAAAAAUUAGCGGAUGACUUGUGGCUGGGGGUGAAAGGCCAAUCAAACCGGGAGAUAGCUGGUUCUCCCCGAAAGCUAUUUAGGUAGCGCCUCGUGAAUUCAUCUCCGGGGGUAGAGCACUGUUUCGGCUAGGGGGUCAUCCCGACUUACCAACCCGAUGCAAACUGCGAAUACCGGAGAAUGUUAUCACGGGAGACACACGGCGGGUGCUAACGUUCGUCGUGAAGAGGGAAACAACCCAGACCGCCGGCUAAGGUCCCAAAGUCAUAAUUAAGUGGGAAACGAAGUGGGAAGGCUCAGACAGCCAGGAUGUUGGCUUAGAAGCAGCCAUCAUUUAAAGAAAGCGUAAUAGCUCACUGGUCGAGUCGGCCUGCGCGGAAGAUGUAACGGGGCUAAAUUAUGCACCGAAGCCGCGGCAGCGAUAUGUAAAUAUUGUUGGGUAGGGGAGCGUUCUGUAAGCCUGUGAAGGUGGCCUGUGAGGGCUGCUGGAGGUAUCAGAAGUGCGAAUGCUGACAUAAGUAACGAUAAUGCGGGUGAAAAACCCGCACGCCGGAAGACCAAGGGUUCCUGUCCAACGUUAAUCGGGGCAGGGUGAGUCGACCCCUAAGGCGAGGCUGAAAAGCGUAGUCGAUGGGCAACGGGUUAAUAUUCCCGUACUGGUGGUAACUGCGAAGGGGGGACGGAGAAAGCUAAAUCAUCCGGGCGACGGUUGUCCCGGUUUAAGCGUGCAGGUGGACUGACCAGGCAAAUCCGGUCGGUUGUUAACACUGAGGCGUGACGACGAGCCACUACGGUGGUGAAGUGAUUGAUGCUCUGCUUCCGGGAAAAGCCUCUAAGCUCCAGGUUACCAUUAAUCGUACCCCAAACCGACACAGGUGGUCAGGUAGAGAAUACUCAGGCGCUUGAGAGAACUCGGGUGAAGGAACUAGGCAAAAUGGUGCCGUAACUUCGGGAGAAGGCACGCUGGCAUUAGGUGAAGUGGUUUACCCACGGAGCUGAAGCCAGCCGCAGAUACCAGCUGGCUGCAACUGUUUAUUAAAAACACAGCACUGUGCAAACACGAAAGUGGACGUAUACGGUGUGACGCCUGCCCGGUGCCGGAAGGUUAAUUGAUGAGGUUAGCGUAAGCGAAGCUUCUGAUCGAAGCCCCGGUAAACGGCGGCCGUAACUAUAACGGUCCUAAGGUAGCGAAAUUCCUUGUCGGGUAAGUUCCGACCUGCACGAAUGGCGUAAUGAUGGCCAGGCUGUCUCCACCCGAGACUCAGUGAAAUUGAACUCGCUGUGAAGAUGCAGUGUACCCGCGGCAAGACGGAAAGACCCCGUGAACCUUUACUAUAGCUUGACACUGAACAUUGAGCCUUGAUGUGUAGGAUAGGUGGGAGGCAACGAAGUGUGGACGCCAGUCUGCACGGAGCCAUCCUUGAAAUACCACCCUUUAACGUUUGAUGUUCUAACCCGGGUCCAUAAUCUGGAUCGGGGACCGUGUCUGGUGGGUAGUUUGACUGGGGCGGUCUCCUCCCAAAGAGUAACGGAGGAGCACGAAGGUUGGCUAAGCAUGGUCGGACAUCAUGCGGUUAGUGCAAAGGCAUAAGCCAGCUUGACUGCGAGAGUGACGGCUCGAGCAGGUACGAAAGUAGGUCUUAGUGAUCCGGUGGUUCUGAAUGGAAGGGCCAUCGCUCAACGGAUAAAAGGUACUCCGGGGAUAACAGGCUGAUACCGCCCAAGAGUUCAUAUCGACGGCGGUGUUUGGCACCUCGAUGUCGGCUCAUCACAUCCUGGGGCUGAAGUAGGUCCCAAGGGUAUGGCUGUUCGCCAUUUAAAGUGGUACGCGAGCUGGGUUUAGAACGUCGUGAGACAGUUCGGUCCCUAUCUGCCGUGGGCGCUGGAAGAUUGAGAGGGGUUGCUCCUAGUACGAGAGGACCGGAGUGAACGCACCACUGGUGUACGGGUUGUGAUGCCAAUUGCAUUGCCCGGUAGCUAAGUGCGGAAGAGAUAACCGCUGAAAGCAUCUAAGCGGGAAACUUGCCUCGAGAUGAGUCUUCCCUGACCCUUUAAGGGUCCUGAAGGAACGUUUGAGACUAAGACGUUGAUAGGCUGGGUGUGUAAGCGCAGCGAUGCGUUGAGCUGACCAGUACUAAUGAACCGUGAGGCUUAACCUGACAACACCGAAGGUGUUU